UUUUCUUUUUUUUUUUUUUUUUCAUUUUUGAAAUUGACAGUUGAAUUUGGAUGCAGUCCAGUGGCAGCUUCUGGGGCUGUAGGGAAAAGUUGAAAUAUCACAGAAGUCAAUUCUGCUGGUAAUGACAAGUUUGUGUUCCUAGUCAGUUCUUAAUAAUGCUCUGCAUGCUAUCUGAAAUGUGUUAGCUGAUUCUUAUUGUGUGUUCACAUAAAAUCUGUCCUGGAUUUUUUUUUAAACUGGGGACGAGCAUCACCCAUUUAAAGUCUUUGGAUCUUCAGAAGAAGAGAACCUCACCAGCAGCAAGACAGUAAAGAUUUGCAGCUGUGUUAAUUCAUAUUGUUUUCUACCUUUAUCUGUUUUAGACAAGAAGACAUUUUCAGCAACUCUGCUAUCUCAUGGUCUGAAAUAAUUUUUGGUAAUUUCACAUGGUACUUUGUUUGACCGUUGUUGGAAAUAAAAUUAUGUGCUAGCUAAUGCUGUUAUAAAAGGAGUGUGUGCUGUAUCAGUAAUAGCAAUGAUGUGAGCUCUAAGUGUGAGUAUUACAGUUUUUUAGGGAGUUAAGGAGGCUUUAGAUGCAAAAAUGUAAAUUCGUUGAAGACUGCCAGAUUUUAAUGAUAAACCAUAUGUGAUAAAUUGAUCAGGAAACUCUGAUGGGGAACAGGGGAAAAAAAAGAUAAAUGUUUGAUAGCAUCUAACUGGUGGUACUCUCCUUACAUUGCCAGGAGGCAACAGAUAUUUUUGACCUGCCAUUUAAUGACCUGCCAAAAUGAGAUACUGUUUGAAGAUAAUUUUGUAACUGACAUGUAUCCGUUAGUUUCCUUCUGCUUUCAUCUGCUAGUUUGCAUUAUGGUUAUAAAACUCUUGGAUAUAUUGUAAGCAGUUUAAGAGCAAGUUGGGGAGACUGGUAUGGGAAGCAUACUCUAACCCACUGGAGUCUGGAAGCCUGAGAAGUUUAGAUUUGGUUUGCUGUGGUGUCUGCUAUGUUUCCCCUAUAAGGCCCCCAACAAAUAUUUCUCUCCUACUCCAGGAAGCAUCACAGGGAGCAGUUUCAGUGCCUACGUCCAUCCACCACCUCUCUCUUCUCCAGUGAAAAUGCCCACAGAAUAUAUUUCAUCACUUCUGUGUUGGACUGCAGAGAAAAAGAAUCGUCUGGUAUUGAUGUGCUGAAUACAACAGACUAAAUUUGGCAUCGUUGAGCAGGACUCCUUAAUUUCAAUAAUAAAUAUAAAUGACUCAGCUCCAGAAGCAACUUUUUAUUUGUCAGGUGGUUAUUCUUUUCAUGGAAAAAUUGAACCUGCCUGUACUUCAAGUAUGUGAACUAUUGCUGAUCAUUGAUAGAUAUAUUUUAAUGAAUUAGACUACUAUGAAGUAAUAAAAUCUUGCCAUGGAGAACAUCUAUCUAGUAAAUGUACAAUAAGUUGUAAGGCCAGCCCCUGGAGUCUUUCUUCACUGAAAUUUACGUGAGCUCCUGCUGCUGCUGUACUGUUUAAGGGUUCACAGGGCUUUAAAAUUUUGAAAAAUUCAGUACGUAAACAUGAUUGAGGCAGAAAAUUGUAAUACGUAUAGAUGACUCAGGCAAAAUGCCUUUUUGUUUAUUUGGCUUCUGUUUUUUUUAAAUAUAUGCGUAUAUGAUCCUUUGUCCACUUUUUUUUUUUAUCUAAGAAAACAUGGCAGAGACUGCUGGUUGUGGGUGACACCUCCUGUAGACUAUAAAAAGAAGCGUUCAGUUUGUGUAGCUGCUGUUUAAAACAAUUUGCAUUCUUCAGGAAGUUGAUGGGGGAGGAUGGAUGAUCCAGUGGCAUGGAACUUAUGAUAUUCCUUUAAAAUUUUAAAAUUUUGCUAUUGGGUGUAAAAAAAAAAAAAUAAAA
Long non-coding RNA from Strigops habroptila (Kakapo), 1868 nucleotides. NCBI's taxonomy places the organism in Eukaryota, Metazoa, Chordata, Aves, Psittaciformes, Psittacidae. The record is from Ensembl.